GCCGCUUUAGCUCAGUCGGUAGAGCGUCUCACUCGUAAUGAGAAGGUCUGGGGUUCGAUUCCCCAAAGCGGCUCCA
Molecule: transfer RNA, 76 nt
Filed under: Microbacterium flavescens
Lineage: Bacteria; Bacillati; Actinomycetota; Actinomycetes; Micrococcales; Microbacteriaceae
Also listed under: 4 other names
Description: tRNA-Thr
Rfam family: tRNA
About the family: Transfer RNA (tRNA) molecules are approximately 80 nucleotides in length.
Source: RNAcentral